RNAcentral lists this ribosomal RNA (485 nucleotides) under uncultured bacterium. RNAcentral's name for it is "bacterial SSU rRNA". It matches the Rfam family "Bacterial small subunit ribosomal RNA", at positions 30 to 509 of the family's 1533-position model. The record is from RNAcentral.
AUUGAACGCUGGCGGCAUGCCUUACACAUGCAAGUCGAACGGCAGCACGGGAGCAAUCCUGGUGGCGAGUGGCGAACGGGUGAGUAAUGCAUCGGAACGUGCCAUUGAGUGGGGGAUAACGUAGCGAAAGUUACGCUAAUACCGCAUAUUCUGUGCGCAGGAAAGCAGGGGAUCGCAAGACCUUGCGCUCUUUGAGCGGCCGAUGUCAGAUUAGCUAGUUGGUGAGGUAAAGGCUCACCAAGGCGACGAUCUGUAGCGGGUCUGAGAGGAUGAUCCGCCACACUGGGACUGAGACACGGCCCAGACUCCUACGGGAGGCAGCAGUGGGGAAUUUUGGACAAUGGGGGCAACCCUGAUCCAGCCAUGCCGCGUGAGUGAAGAAGGCCUUCGGGUUGUAAGCUCUUUCGGCCGGGAAGAAAUCGCACAGGUUAAUACCCUGUGUGGAUGACGGUACCGGACUAAGAAGCACCGGCUAACUACGUACG